This 28-nucleotide non-coding RNA is filed under the name Bombyx mori (domestic silkworm). The record is from RNAcentral. Lineage: Eukaryota; Metazoa; Arthropoda; Insecta; Lepidoptera; Bombycidae.
UGUAACAGAAUGAGACAGCCUUCUGCCA